Molecule: ribosomal RNA, 467 nt
Filed under: uncultured bacterium
Lineage: Bacteria
Description: partial 16S ribosomal RNA
Rfam family: Bacterial small subunit ribosomal RNA
Source: RNAcentral
GACGAGCGCUGGCGGCGUGCUUAACACAUGCAAGUCGAACGGAAAGGCCUCUUUCGGGGGGUACUCGAGUGGCGAACGGGUGAGUAACACGUGAGUAACCUGCCCUUGACUUUGGGAUAACUUCAGGAAACUGGGGCUAAUACCGGAUAGGAGCUCCUGCUGCAUGGUGGGGGUUGGAAAGUUUCGGCGGUUGGGGAUGGACUCGCGGCUUAUCAGCUUGUUGGUGGGGUAGUGGCUUACCAAGGCUUUGACGGGUAGCCGGCCUGAGAGGGUGACCGGCCACAUUGGGACUGAGAUACGGCCCAGACUCCUACGGGAGGCAGCAGCGGGGAAUAUUGCACAAUGGGUGGAAGCCUGAUGCAGCAACGCCGUGUGCGGGAUGACGGCCUUCGGGUUGUAAACCGCUUUCGCUCAUGACGAAGCUUUGUGUGACGGUAGUGGGUAAAGAAGCACCGGCUAACUACGUG